Molecule: non-coding RNA, 549 nt
Organism: Paramisgurnus dabryanus
Lineage: Eukaryota; Metazoa; Chordata; Actinopteri; Cypriniformes; Cobitidae
Source: RefSeq, a predicted model, not a curated record
AAGAAUGCAAACAAUUCCUGUAUGUUAGAAUUGUUAAUUUUAAAUUGCUCAUAGUAGGACUACUAUGUAAAUGAAUUAUUACGGUAAACAAUUCUGCCAAAUGCAUAAAUGUAUCUCUAGUAUAUAAUAUGUGUUCAGAAUUAUUUUCUACUAAUUAGAAAACACAUGUUGUUGUUGUUUUAGAUUAACUACAUACGGUCCCUUGGGGGAGCCAACCCAGGAGCUGCUGUACACAAAAUUUUGCGUAAAUUGGCCUCCACUGAAAUCCUGAGUGCCUACAGCAUGAAAGGGAGGAAGGAAUCUACGCAGAAAAACUACAAGGCGUUAAAGGCGCUUGAGGUAGAAGACUUAAUUGGAUUAGCCCGGAAAUUUGCCCCACACAGAAAUUUUAAAUGAUGGGAGAGAUUGCCGUGGAGUUCCGAAGUUCAUAGUUUUUAAUAUAUUAAAAUGUUUUUAUGAUACUACGUUCUACAUGUUUUAUUGUUAAUUUUGUAUUAUGUUUUAUAUAAUCAAAUUAUAUACACUAUUACAUUAUUAUCUAACUCUAUA